GCAAGCACAGGCGUAUCAGUGUUGCAUGACUGGCCCCGCAACCGCGCACGCCUUUGGUAUAUAUGAACCUGCAUAUGUUGCAUGUGAAUAAUAGGCACAUCCUGCCACGCCAGCGAACUUUGCUCUCUAUACACUUGUACAUCGUAUGCACACACAUACACAGUUGCGAAUACACAAUAAUUUGAUCGGGUAAUAACUAUUUGAUUAGGAGCGAUUUUAUGAGCCUUUCUAUUUUAAGUUCUUGUUGCCAUUUUAUUUGCCUUGAAGGUGUUGUUCAUGAGUGUCCGUGCUGGAAGUUGGCAGGCAUAAUUGGUUUGUUUGAUUCUUAGAGGUUCACGUGAUGAUAUAACGAAGAAAAAUCAUAUUUGCCGGGAAAUGUUUUACAAAAAUUCCUCUGGGAGGUGUGAUCUCAGAUGAACCAUCAACUACUUAUCAUGCUCACCGCAAAGAAAAAAGUGUAUCGGCACAACAGCUGUAGUGUCAACAAAUUUGCACAUUUUUUACUGAAAAUUUUAAUUUAACAACUUUAAAUACAUAUAUGUAUACAAACGUA
Molecule: long non-coding RNA, 553 nt
Organism: Bactrocera neohumeralis
Lineage: Eukaryota; Metazoa; Arthropoda; Insecta; Diptera; Tephritidae
Exons: 2
Source: RefSeq, a predicted model, not a curated record